This 209-nucleotide long non-coding RNA is filed under the name Mytilus galloprovincialis (Mediterranean mussel). The record is from RNAcentral. Lineage: Eukaryota; Metazoa; Mollusca; Bivalvia; Mytilida; Mytilidae.
CUAGUAUAUUAAUCCUCAUCCUCAUCAUCACAAUGUACUAGUUUGGCACUACAGCAGCCUUCUGAUAAUAUGCCUGCUUCUACUUGCACUUUAACUUUUCUUGCAGCUUUUAUUUAUGCUUUCAAUUCAUGCAUGUUACUUUGUAUAUGAUAUAAUUAUUCAUUUUAGUAUGAUCAUGCUUGCUAAACUUAUAUACCUUACAAUACCCA